Molecule: RNA transcript, 2087 nt
Organism: Helicoverpa armigera (cotton bollworm)
Lineage: Eukaryota; Metazoa; Arthropoda; Insecta; Lepidoptera; Noctuidae
Gene name: UPF0669 protein C6orf120 homolog
Exons: 5
Source: RefSeq, a predicted model, not a curated record
AAAUGACAGCAAACAAAAUUUUCGCACGUCAAUUUGACAGUGAGUGAAUCCCGUAGGAUUUCGGUUUUCGCAACAAAAAUAUUUACGAAUUUACAGAAAUGCGAAGGGAAUUCAUCAUAGUUUUGUUAGGAAUUAUAUGCACAUCGACUUUAUCGUCUUUGCUCUCCGGCUAUGUGCAGAUAGAGACAGAUAAAAUCCUUUUAGACACGGUAAUCGGCGCUGUAGGUGCGGGAAACUUUUCAUAUUGGCAAUUAGGCCAUACAGGACCUUUGCUUGUUGAAUUAACGUCUUUAUCUGGUGAUGCGGACCUUUAUGUAUCAGAUACUGUAAGGCCAAGCUAUGAGGUAGAUAAGAACAACUUCAGCUCAGUGACCUGCGGUCCUGACAUGGUGCAUAUACCAUCGGACUUCCCUAGACCUAUUGGUAUAGGCAUAUUCGGUCACUGGUCCCACUACAUCUCAGAGUACAGCAUACAAGUGUUCCUGGACGCCUCGGCCGUGCUCACUGAAGAACAGGUGCUGGUCAUCGAGAGAGCCCAGCGAGGACUCGGAGAGAAAUAUCAAGGUAUAUUUAUAACUCGACAAGAGAAAAGAGAAGCCAGCGACUCGUACCAGUAAGGCGGGUGAGGAACCGAAACCGAGGUUCCUGAAGCUUCUGAAUAUCAUGGACAUGAUAUUCGAAAUGUUUGUACUAUAGGUAAUGCUACUAGCAGCUUUUAAGACAAUUUCUCUCUAGCAAUAUUCCCCCGGUGUGCGAACAAAACAAAUUGCGUGCGAACAUUUGUAAAAUGUCCGCGAAACUGCAACCGCUGCGCGAACACAUGCUAGCUGUGGACUCGCGACAUCACAUAUUAUGAAAUCUUCUCAUAUGCAAACAUUGAUAUACAAAAAACCCAAGAUGCACACUCAACGUCUCAAAAACGUCCUCACCAAAUGAGCGCAACAUUCAAAAUUGUGCGCUCAUUUUGUUUGUCCCAGCCGACCACUUCGGUCGUAAAAUUUUAUUGCUUUAACUACAGUGCGUUGUAAUAACGACUUUAAGCAAUUCGCGUAAAGUUAAACUUGCAUUAAAGUACUUAUAGAAAGAGACAGAAUUAGUGUUCGGGGACACUUUCGAGCGUUACUUUUAUUUGAGACUGUGCAUCUUAGGUUUUUGUAUAUCAAUGUAUGCAAAGGUAAAUUAUGGACUAUAAUUUCAUCUAGGAGGCCUUUGAGUCCCUGAAAUGAAAUGUGACUUUCUCUGUGGCACCCGGAUUAAAAGUACGUACAUAAAUAUUAUUUCAUCAUCCUCCAAGCCUUUACCCCAACUGUGUUGGGGUCGGCUUAACCGGAUGCAGCUGAGUACCAGUGCUUUACAAGAAGCGACUGCCUAUGUGACCUCCUCAACCCAGUUACCCGGGCAACCCGAUACCCCCGAUACAGAAAUAUUAUUUCUAAAUGAAAAUUCUCGCUUAUUUUUAAUGUAAAAAAAUAACGCUUCCUAACUCAAAGAAAAGACUGUAGUGUCCAAAAUAAACUUAAGCCUAUGAUGUUUACCGACAAUGUACAAUUGCGUAAGAAAUACAUAUGCAGGGUGUUUCGUUCACAAUCACAUCAUAUCCUAUCGCAUAUACUUUAUGAUAUUCUAUGGCGAAUUGUAAAAAAAAUAAACUAAUCCAUUCAGUGGUUUAGCCACAGGAGUAAUUUUUCGUUUUUACAAUUUACAACAUCAUGUGUAAAGCGGAGAUAAAGUUAGGAGUAUCGAAUGUUUUGACCAGUUAACAGCUGUCAGUUUUCAAUUGUUUGUAAUGACUGACUUGUAUAUGGUGUUCUAUUUUUCGCACAUUUUUAUUCUAUUUCAUCAUCAUCAUCAUCUCAGGCACAGGACGUCCACUGCUGAACAUAGGCCUCCCCCUUAGAUCUCCACAGAUACCUGUUGGAGGCGACCUGCAUCCAGCGUCGACGGCGACCGACAUAACUGUACACCUUUGUUAUUUACUUUGUUAGAAAAAAACAUGUAGUUUUUUUUCUUUGUGUUAAUCGACAUGUAUUAACCAGUAUAUUAACGCAUUUCAUUUAAUGUGAUUAUGAACGACACACCCGAUAUGU